Molecule: long non-coding RNA, 850 nt
Organism: Eucalyptus grandis
Lineage: Eukaryota; Viridiplantae; Streptophyta; Magnoliopsida; Myrtales; Myrtaceae
Exons: 3
Source: RefSeq, a predicted model, not a curated record
CUGCGCCCAUGGACGUCGCCGUUCCGUCCCGUGACGAUCCAGCCGCUCGCUGGUUGCAGCCAAUACCUUGUCAGGUCGAUCCAUGAGAAUUGGUUCUGCGCAAGAUGCAUGAGCGCAUCAAAUUCUGCUGGUGAAGGGGCUUUUGUCAUGCAGACGACGGCUUUCAUCUUGGUGGCACUGUGAGCAUAGAUGUUGACAGACAGAAUUGGUUUAGGACUAUAUAACGAAAGCAUACCAUGCAGUUUUAAGCAAUCAGAUAUUGCAGAUAAUGCUUCAGCAUGCAUCUCCCUCAUCUGUGAGAGGUAUGAUGGUUCAAUUGGAGUGGCAUCGGGUGCUGUAAUGGCUGCUGAUCAAUUUGCAUGGUAGUGAAAUCAAAGAAACCUUUGACCUUGCAGUGAAGUUGAAAUUGUAUGGUUCGUCCGCAGACUCUUUCCCUACCUGUCUGAGCCAAAUACUGGCAGAUGGAGAUCCUGAUAAGCCAGUGAAUCCAUUCAGCAAAUCUGUCAUUGAUGACGAGGAGAUCAUCUUUCUUGCUAACCUGCAAGUUCGUCACUGCUAGGCUCAGAAUGUUUGAACAAGACAAACUCCAGGAGGGUCAGCGGUUUUUGGCAAAAUUUUUCCAGCAACUAGUAUUCACAGGCGCUGGACUUUGAUUAAGAUGCAUUAGGUAGAGGACUCUCUGAGUUGAAAAUCAUGUGAGAUCGUUGGUCUGCUAUUUGCUAUUUGGCCAUGCUGGUAUUGGGUGAAGGUCUUGCUGGUGUCUGCAUUGUGAUUUUCCUUUGAACAAAGAUCGUUAUAUAAGGUUGUUCAGCCAGCUUAUUAAUGUCAUCAUUUUUAUAACUGGAUUCAU